Molecule: ribosomal RNA, 683 nt
Filed under: Staphylococcus aureus
Lineage: Bacteria; Bacillati; Bacillota; Bacilli; Caryophanales; Staphylococcaceae
Description: partial 23S ribosomal RNA
Rfam family: Bacterial large subunit ribosomal RNA
Source: RNAcentral
GGCUGUUCGCCAUUUAAAGUGGUACGCGAGCUGGGUUUAGAACGUCGUGAGACAGUUCGGUCCCUAUCUGCCGCGGUCUCCUCCUAAAGAGUAACGGAGGAGUACGAAGGUGCGCUCAGACCGGUCGGAAAUCGGUCGCAGAGUAUAAAGGCAAAAGCGCGCUUGACUGCGAGACAGACACGUCGAGCAGGUACGAAAGUAGGUCUUAGUGAUCCGGUGGUUCUGUAUGGAAGGGCCAUCGCUCAACGGAUAAAAGGUACUCCGGGGAUAACAGGCUGAUACCGCCCAAGAGUUCAUAUCGACGGCGGUGUUUGGCACCUCGAUGUCGGCUCAUCACAUCCUGGGGCUGAAGCCGGUCCCAAGGGUAUGGCUGUUCGCCAUUUAAAGUGGUACGCGAGCUGGGUUUAGAACGUCGUGAGACAGUUCGGUCCCUAUCUGCCGUGGACGUUUGAGAUUUGAGAGGGGCUGCUCCUAGUACGAGAGGACCGGAGUGGACGAACCCCUGGCAUGCUUGAGGUUCUAACUCUGGUCCGUGAUCCGGAUCGAGGACAGUGUAUGGUGGGCAGUUUGACUGGGGCGGUCUCCUCCUAAAGAGUAACGGAGGAGUACGAAGGUGCGCCCAGCGCCCAAGAGUUCAUAUCGACGGCGGUGUUUGGCCCCUCGAUGUCGGCUCAUCACAUCCU